Molecule: long non-coding RNA, 1179 nt
Organism: Caretta caretta (loggerhead turtle)
Lineage: Eukaryota; Metazoa; Chordata; Testudines; Cheloniidae
Source: RefSeq, a predicted model, not a curated record
GCACGCCCAGGGCCCGCCUCGCUCUCGUGCCAAGGCGGAAGGGUGAGAAGGGCCGGGGAAAAGCCGACCAGGGAGCCUCAAGGGGUGUGUCCCUUCGGCUCCGCCCCGCACUUUCCAUUGGUCUACUAGCGGCAAGGGGGCGGGUUGCUGAGCUCUAGGCCUGUCGGGGCAGGGCAACGUACGUCGGCUCCUCCCUCAAGACCACACCCGCUUAGGCCCCGGCACGGCAAGAUGAGACCGCCCAUCCAGUCUCUUCACCUGAGAAGGACCAGUGAAGGAGAGGGACCUGCCUAGACCAUCCAGACCAGGGGUGGCCAACCUGGGGCUCCGAAGCCACAUGUGGCUCUUCAGAAGUUAAUAUGCGGCUCCUUGUCUAGGCACCAACUCCGGGGCUGGAGCUACAGGCUCAGGUUGGCCACCCUGAUCCAGACGAUGUCCCUGACUGGGGAGCUGAACCAGUGUCCAGAGCAACAGCUAUCAUGGCCAGCCUCCUGGCCCAAGCAUCAGUCCAUGACUGACCAGCUGCCCCGGAUCCUGAGAAGAUCAACAAAAGCCAUAUUACCCCAUCGUUUACUGUCGGAUCGCCUCUCUCCCUUUUAUAUGUACUGAGUCAUUCCCCACUCAGAAUCAAACGACUAAACAAACCCUUUCUUCCCCAUCAAAAAGGCCUGCUUAACAGAAUAAGGGGCUUAAACAAAUAUUCCCUGUCUCAAAAAGAAAUUUGGAUAAGGUUUGUGUGUUUGGCAUAAUUGCUCAAUUUCAGUUUUAAUGCUUUUUGCCUUGUGUUGAGUCUUUUCCCUUUGUGUGUCUCAGUCAAUACAUUUCUAAGCUUUGGCAUUUAUUUCCUAGUGUGUUUGUCCUUGCACCAAGAAGGCUGAGAUCUCUGUAGCUGGAGCCCUUGUUUAACCCUGUUACUGUUGGACAGUGAGUUGGCUAUGUUAACACCUUUGAUUUUUAGGGGCCAUAUAGUCCAUCAAAAUCGAUAUAACACCUCCCAAGUAAAAACAUUUGCUUAUCCACAUUUUAUGGAUUUCCUUAUCUGUGUAGUAUAUUACAGGAAGCAAGUAAUUCAGUACCUACACACAUUAACUGGAUUAUCACCUUAUCUGAAUUAGUUAGUACUUGCCGAAAACUCUUGGGAACAAAAGCACAUAGCGGAACUGCACUGCAAGCAGCGAG